RNAcentral lists this ribosomal RNA (465 nucleotides) under uncultured bacterium. RNAcentral's name for it is "partial 16S ribosomal RNA". It matches the Rfam family "Bacterial small subunit ribosomal RNA", at positions 28 to 507 of the family's 1533-position model. The record is from RNAcentral.
GACGAACGCUGGCGGCGUGCUUAACACAUGCAAGUCGAACGGAAAGGCCCUGCUUGCAGGGUACUCGAGUGGCGAACGGGUGAGUAACACGUGGGUGAUCUGCCCUGCACUUCGGGAUAAGCCUGGGAAACUGGGUCUAAUACCGGCUAGGUGCCAUUUUUAGUGUGAUGGUUGGAAAGUUUUUUCGGUGUAGGAUGAGCUCGCGGCCUAUCAGCUUGUUGGUGGGGUAAUGGCCUACCAAGGCGGCGACGGGUAGCCGGCCUGAGAGGGUGGACGGCCACAUUGGGACUGAGAGACGGCCCAGACGCCUACGGUAGGCAGCAGUGGGGAAUAUUGCACAAUGGGCGCAAGCCUGAUGCAGCGACGCCGCGUGGGGGAUGACGGCCUUCGGGUUGUAAACUCCUUUCGCUAGGGACGAAGCUUUUUGUGACGGUACCUAGAUAAGAAGCACCGGCUAACUACGUG